RNAcentral lists this ribosomal RNA (254 nucleotides) under uncultured bacterium. RNAcentral's name for it is "partial 16S ribosomal RNA". It matches the Rfam family "Bacterial small subunit ribosomal RNA", at positions 524 to 776 of the family's 1533-position model. The record is from RNAcentral.
UACGUAGGGUCCGAGCGUUGUCCGGAAUUAUUGGGCGUAAAGGGCUCGUAGGCGGUUUGUCGCGUCGGGAGUGAAAACACCAGGCUUAACUUGGUGCUUGCUUUCGAUACGGGCAGACUUGAGGCAUGCAGGGGGAGAACGGAAUUCCUGGUGUAGCGGUGAAAUGCGCAGAUAUCAGGAGGAACACCGGUGGCGAAGGCGGUUCUCUGGGCAUGUUCUGACGCUGAGGAGCGAAAGUGUGGGGAGCGAACAGG